GUUCAAGCUACUAAGGGCGCACGGUGGAUGCCCUGGCGCCAGGGGCCGAUGAAGGACGCUGCCGGCGGCGAAAGGACCGGGGAGGUGCCUAGCAACCUUCGAUCCGGUCGUCUCCGAAUGGGGCAACCCCCGGCGGGUCAUACCGCCGGAUCCCGCGCUGAAUCCAUAGGUGCGGGAGGGCCAGUCGGGGAACUGAAACAUCUCAGUACCCGGAGGAAGAGAAAUCAACCGAGAUUCCCGGAGUAGUGGCGAGCGAAACGGGAACAGCCCAAACCCGCGGCGCGUGAGAGCUCGCAGGCGUUGCGCCGCGGGGGUUGGAGGGCGUCACCGGGCCGGGCUGCGAACCGGCCGGGAAGUGACCAAUCCCCGCUCUAGCCGAACUGUCCUGGAACGGCAGGCCGUAGACGGUGAGGAGCCCGGUAGGCGAAAGGGCGGGGACUUCCUGGGUGACGUUCCUGAGUACCGCGGGACACGUGGAACCCCGCGGGAAGCUGGGGGGACCACCCUCCAAGGCUAAAUACCCCUGGCGACCGAUAGCGCACGAGUACCGUGAGGGAACGGUGAAAAGAACCCCGGGAGGGGAGUGAAAUAGAACCUGAAACCGUGUGCCUACAGACAGUCGGAGGGCUAUGCCGAUCCCUUCAGGGAUCGGAAUGCCUGACGGCGUGCCUAUUGAAGAAUGAGCCGGCGAGUUGCACCGUGUGGCGAGCUUAAGCGAGCGAAUCGCGGAGGCGGAGGGAAACCGAGUCUGAACAGGGCGCCGCUCCCGGAGGGGAGGCACGGCUUCGGCCGUGCAGUCGCACGGUGCAGACCCGAAACCGGGUGAGCUACCCAUGGCCAGGGUGAAGCGCGGUUAGCCCCGCGUGGAGGCCCGAACCCACUGGUGUUGAAAAACCAGGGGAUGAGCUGUGGGUAGGGGUGAAAUGCCAAUCGAACCCGGAGAUAGCUGGUUCUCCCCGAAAUGCAUUGAGGUGCAGCCCCGGUGCCAAGCCUCCGGGUGGUAGAGCACUGGAUGGGCUAGGGCGGGAGGACCCGUACCGAACCCAACCAAACUCCGAAUGCCCGGACGGCGUUCGUCGGGAGUGAGACGGUGGGGGAUAAGCUCCAUCGUCGAGAGGGGAACAACCCAGACCGCCAGCUAAGGUCCCCAAAUCGUGGCUAAGUGGGAAAGGAAGUGGCCUCGCUCAGACAGCCAGGAGGUUGGCUUAGAAGCAGCCAUCCUUGAAAGAGUGCGUAAUAGCUCACUGGUCGAGCGAUGCUGCGCCGAAGAUUCAACGGGGCUCAAGCCACGUACCGAAGCUGCGGGUCUCGCGUCCGCUGGGACGCGGGGCGGUAGGGGAGCGUUCCGGUGUAGGUUGAAGGCGGACCGGGAGGACCGCUGGACGACCCGGAAGUGCGAAUGCCGGCAUGAGUAGCGAAAAGGCAGGUGAGAAUCCUGCCCGCCGUAAGGCCAAGGGUUCUUACGGAAGGUUCGUCCGCGUAAGGUUAGGCGGGACCUAAGGCGAGGCCGACAGGCGUAGCCGAUGGACAGCCGGUCGACAUUCCGGCCCCGCUCGUCAGCCGUCAUGAGCCAAGGGGGGACGCAGGAGGGUAGGCCUACCGGGGGCUGGUCGUCCCGGGCCAAGCGGGUAGGCGGAGGCCCCAGGCAAAUCCGGGGCCUCAUCCAACGCCGAGACGCGAGCGCGAGCUGGGUUGCAUGCCCGGCGAAGUGGCUCAGCCCACACUGCCAAGAAAAGCCUCGUGGCCAGGCUGGCGGGCGCCCGUACCGCAAACCGACACAGGUGGCCAGGCACUCAACGUGCCAAGGCGCGCGAGAGAACCCUCGUCAAGGAACUCGGCAAAAUGACCCCGUAACUUCGGGACAAGGGGUGCCUCGGUAGGGUGAGGUGCGUCACGCACCGAGCCCGAGGAGGUCGCAGAGAAUAGGCUCAGCCGACUGUUUAACAAAAACACAGGUCUCUGCGAAGCCGUAAGGCGACGUAUAGGGGCUGACGCCUGCCCAGUGCCGGAAGGUUAAGGGGACGGGUUAGUCCGGGUUCGCCCGGGCGAAGCCCUGAACCAAAGCCCCGGUGAACGGCGGCGGUAACUAUAACCGUCCUAAGGUAGCGAAAUUCCUUGUCGGGUAAGUCGCCACUUGCCCCAUGCGAGAGAGAUCUCGCAUGCCACACCGGCUCAUAUCGGUGGAGCCCUCGGGGGGGGUUGCAAAAUCUGCAAGUCCUGCCGAGGGGAAUACCGAGGGAAGCUGCGGCCUCGGCCGCUAGCCCCGUAACGACUUCGGGGAAGAGGACCCCCGGGGUGGCGUCUCUGGCCGGACGGCCAAAUCUGCAGGCGCCACAAGACGCCGGUAUCUCGCCUGGAGCCAGCUGGUGGAUCUGCACGCCUACCUGUCCGGCUAUGCUGACGGAGAAGGGUGCUUCUGCAUCACGUUCAAUCGCAGCACGCGCCAUGUCUUCGGCUGGGAUAUCCGGCCGAGUUUCUCUGUCAGCCAGAACCGGGACCGCGCCGAGAUCCUUGAGGUGUUCCUCCGGACAUUCGGGUGGGUCGAUUCGGCCCGACCGAUCGGAUCGAACGCUCAAGUAUGAGGUGCGGAGUGUCGCGGACUUGGUGGCGCGUGUCAUCCCGCACUUCCGGCGAUACCCGCUGCUUUCAGGCAAGCGGAGAGACUUCGCGGUCUUCGCUGAAGUGUGCGAGAGGAUGUACCGUCGCGAGCACCUGACGGUGGUUGGAUUUCAGCGCAUCGUCAGGCUGGCCGGACAGAUCAACCAGACUGGCAAGAAAAGGUAUCCCAGGAUCGAGAUAAAGGUAUAGUCUACGCCCCUGGUAACAGGGAAUCGCGUGAAGUUCCGACCUGCACGAAUGGCGUAACGAGCUGAGCGCUGUCUCGACGAGGGACUCGGCGAAGUUGUGAAGCCCGUGAAGACACGGGCCACCCGCGGCUGGACGGAAAGACCCCGUGGAGCUUUACUGCAGCUUGUCAUUGGAUGUGGUCUUACCGUGUAGAGGAUAGGUGGGAGGCGGAGAAGCCGGGGCGCCAGCCUCGGUGGAGCCACCCUUGGAAUACCACCCUCGGCAAGGUUACGUCCUAACCUGGGCCCUCAGCGGGUCUGGGGACAGUGGCAGGUGGGCAGUUUGACUGGGGCGGUCGCCUCCUAAACGGUAACGGAGGCGCCCAAAGGUCCCCUCAGCACGGUUGGAAACCGUGCGGCGAGUGCAAGGGCAUAAGGGGGCUUGACUGCGAGGCCUACAAGCCGAGCAGGGGCGAAAGCCGGGCCUAGUGAUCCUACGGCGGCAAGUGGAAGCGCCGUGGCUUAACGGAUAAAAGCUACCCCGGGGAUAACAGGCUAAUAGGGCCCAAGAGUCCACAUCGACGGCCCUGUUUGGCACCUCGAUGUCGGCUCAUCUCAUCCUGGGGCUGUAGUAGGUCCCAAGGGUUGGGCUGUUCGCCCAUUAAAGAGGUACGUGAGCUGGGUUCAGAACGUCGUGAGACAGUAACCUGGACCGUUGCUGUCUAUAAAUCUGGCUAUAUGCUGGAAAGCCUGGGGGAUCCCACGCUACCCAUCCUGCAAACCCGUUGAGGAUGUGCCGAUAGGUAGGGAUGGGUGACAAUGCGAUGGGUGCAGGUAACCAGCAGGGAAGGCCAGAUGAGGGGAUCAGCCACUACAUCGCAGGUUUUGUCGACGGGGAAGGUUCGUUCCACGUGGCGGUGCAACGUCAUCCCACCACCCGGUGGCGAUGGCAGAUCGUGCCCGAGUUCCGGGUUUCCCAGAACGACGGUAAUCAGCACGUGCUGGAGUUGAUCCAGAGCGUGUUGGGCUGCGGGCACAUCAAGCGGAACCACGGGAAGAGCCUGCGAGACAGAACCUGGGUGUUGGUGGUAAGACAUCGCUCCGACCUGAUCGGGAAGGUGAUCCCGUUCUUCGAGCGGUAUCGCCUGCACACGACGAAGCGUCAUGAUUUCGAGCGGUUCGCGGCUGUCGUCCGGGCUGUGGCGGUGGGGCAACAUCGUCACCCCGCAGGACUCCGCGAGUUGCUGCGCGUGGCCUUCGCGAUGAAUCAGGGUGGAGCUCGGCGACGGCUGUCGCUGGAGACGGUCCUUGCUCAUCUGGAACCCUCAGAGACUGUACGCCAGACACCUCGCACGAGGUGAAGAUACAGUCCGAGCUUUCAGGCGACUGAAAGAGGCAGGCAGAAAUGACCUGCCCCCUCCCCUUCCAGGAGGAGUAACAACACUGUCGGUCCCUAUCCACCGCGGGCGCAGGAGACUUGAGGGGAGCUGCUCCUAGUACGAGAGGACCGGAGUGGACGGACCUCUGGUGUACCGGUUGUCCUGCCAAGGGCACGCGCCGGGUAGCCAUGUCCGGACGGGAUAAGCGCUGAAAGCAUCUAAGCGCGAAGCCCACCCCAAGACGAGGUCUCCCACCGGGUCAACCGGGUAAGCCCCCUGGGAGAUGACCAGGUUGAUAGGCCGGGGGUGUAAGCGCUGAGAGGCGUUGAGCCUACCGGUACUAAUCGGGCGAGGGCUUGAGCCC
This 4529-nucleotide ribosomal RNA is filed under the name Pseudomonadota bacterium. RNAcentral describes it as "23S ribosomal RNA". The stretch from base 1 to 3536 matches the Rfam family "Bacterial large subunit ribosomal RNA". Lineage: Bacteria; Pseudomonadati; Pseudomonadota. RNAcentral also lists the same sequence under 2 other names. The record is from RNAcentral.